This 971-nucleotide small RNA is filed under the name Pan troglodytes (chimpanzee). RNAcentral describes it as "retained intron". The record is from RNAcentral. Lineage: Eukaryota; Metazoa; Chordata; Mammalia; Primates; Hominidae.
AUUGGCAAGCUUGCGUGCCCCAGCGACACAGGCCUCGAGGCUGUCUCUGACAAGUGUUCACAGGAGGUGGGGACGCCUCUGCGCGAGGAACGAGGAGCUACGGGCCUGGGCCCGGUUAUUGCCAUGGGCAGCGGCUGCCGCAUCGAAUGCAUAUUCUUCAGCGAGUUCCACCCCACGCUGGGACCCAAGAUCACCUAUCAGGUCCCUGAAGACUUCAUCUCCCGAGAGCUGUUUGACACAGUCCAAGUGUAUAUCAUCACCAAGCCAGAGCUGCAAAACAAGCUUAUCACUGUCACAGCUAUGGAAAAGAAGCUGAUCGGCUGUCCUGUGUGCAUCGAACACAAGAAGUACAGCCGCAAUGCUCUCCUCUUCAACCUGGGCUUCGUGUGUGAUGCCCAGGCCAAGACCUGCGCCCUCGAGCCCAUUGUUAAAAAGCUGGCUGGCUAUCUGACCACACUAGAGGUCUGCAAUGAGAUGGGCUUGGGUUUACCAACAGGCAGAGUUGGGGAAGGUGUUCCCAUGUCUCCAAAGUCCCCCAAACCUGGGACCCUGCAAACCAGCUCAGGACUCAGGGCAGCCAACCAGCCAGGGGUCCUGGGAUGUGCCCACCAUGCUUUCCAUGCUCUGUCUAGCUAGAGAGCAGCUUCGUGUCCACGGAGGAGAGCAAGCAGAAGUUGGUGCCCAUCAUGACCAUCUUGCUGGAGGAGCUAAAUGCCUCAGGCCGGUGCACUCUGCCCAUUGGUAUGGCCAGCCUCUGCAAGGACAGCAGAGGGGUAGAGGAGAGAUGGGAAAGUGAGCCCAGCUAGUCAGGGAGAAGGACAAGACUCAUGAACACAUUGGUGGGCAGGAAAUAGCCAUGGGCUGAGGUGCCCAUGUCCAGGGUCCAAUGCAUGAUGGAGCUGGGACUGGGGGUAGGGGGAAAGCAGAGCUCUCCAGCUCUGCCCCUUGGGCAAUUCCUUCCCCUUUGUGGG